GCCUAAAUGCCUGGCGACGGUCUCCUCUCCGCAAAGGGAGGAGCUAAGAGGGAACGCGGUGCGAGCUUCUGCUCAACUCCGCGGCUGUCCCCGCAACUGUAAGCGGCGAGCCUGCAACCCCCACUGCCACUGGAAAAUUUCCGGGAAGGCGGUUGCAGGCGACGACCCGCAAGCCAGGAGACCUGCCGUCGACCGAUCAAUCCU
This 204-nucleotide non-coding RNA is filed under the name Aquamicrobium sp. LC103. Lineage: Bacteria; Pseudomonadati; Pseudomonadota; Alphaproteobacteria; Hyphomicrobiales; Phyllobacteriaceae. The record is from RNAcentral. RNAcentral also lists the same sequence under 1 other name.